Molecule: long non-coding RNA, 624 nt
Organism: Melospiza melodia melodia
Lineage: Eukaryota; Metazoa; Chordata; Aves; Passeriformes; Passerellidae
Exons: 3
Source: RefSeq, a predicted model, not a curated record
GAGUGUUGUCCUUAUUCCUUACUCCUUUGUCCUUAUUCCUUACUCCUGUUGUCCUUAUUCCUUACUCCAGCAAGCCACAUGUCUCCUCUUUCAGGUGACAGGCAGGCGUCCAGAAGGCAGAUCUCACUGCGGGAAAGAGACGGGAGAUGUUUGCCUUCACUGAUUUGCCUGGCUAUCAAGCUCAGUUAUUACCACUGGGACCCAAAGCAAGGAGUGAUGGCAUGCUCUUCCAUGGCUUAAUGGUCCUCACACCAAACUCUCUCCAGUGAUGCGCUAUUAAAAGUGCAAGUCACGAAGCGAUCAGAGCGGGGACCACAAUGUGUACUAGAGCUGUGACAGUUCACACUUCAUAGUUAAACUGACAGCAGGACUAAGUAGAGGCUUCUUUUAUAAAAAGAAAAUGAAGAGUACAGGAUGGGCCAUUGUGAUGUAAUCUGAUUUAGGACUUUGAGACAUUGUGUGAGCCAUCCUCUGAGGCUGAUUUAGACUCUUUCAGCAAGUGUUCUUCUCUCUGAGCUCCAAAAUAGCCACUGAUCCAUCCUUCGGAAAAUACUGCUCUCAGGGGGGUCUGCUGAAGUGGUGUUGAGUUUCCAAACGGACAGAGAAACAGGCAAGUGUAUUCUU